Molecule: long non-coding RNA, 728 nt
Organism: Triplophysa dalaica
Lineage: Eukaryota; Metazoa; Chordata; Actinopteri; Cypriniformes; Nemacheilidae
Exons: 6
Source: RefSeq, a predicted model, not a curated record
UUUAUAACAUGUAUACUCAGACAUCUGAUGUUUUUUGAAAGGCAAUUACAACAGCAGAUUUUACGAAAAAACAUAUAAAUGCGGAUUUCCAUAAUCGUUCAAAUUUGCUGUAAAGAUUUAACGAUUGCUAAUUUUCACCACGUUGCUGCUGUGCUCCGCACGUGUGCAUAUGUGAGACUUUAGUCUAAAGCCACGAUUCUAACGUAGUUUGUUUCUAAAACUAUUAAAGCUCGUUAACAUAUUACAUUUAGUAUGUUGCUAGUUCUCAGAUAAUCACAAAUUUUUGUGUUUUUUACAGAACGUUGCGUGUUUAGACAAUGACCAUGAGUUUGGCCUCGUCUUCUGUUCAGACAUCCAUCAUGCUAUUACCAAAUGGGUAACCAUAACUGCAUCCAUCUUAAGAUAACCUUACCAGAUCAUGCCUUUACCAAAUGGGAAACCAUAAAUGAAGUCAGACACGGAUUGUGCCAUAAUCAAAUGGGUAUCCAGAAGUGAACAUUAAGUCAAACACUGGACAUGUUUUGAUUCAGGAUGCCCUUGAGAUGUGUGACCCUUGAUGACAGCCUAAGAAGGUGUCUUCUAGAGAGCUUGUGCUGCUCCUGAAAAGCUGUGUGAAGUGAAUUUCUAGUUCCUUGUGGUGUCAGAGUACUUGGAAAAGCUGAAAUUAUAAUAUUGUGUAUGUUGAGUGUUUAAGUAAAAUUUGGUGAAUAAAACUUCAACCAUGCAAA